RNAcentral lists this long non-coding RNA (948 nucleotides) under Danio rerio (zebrafish). RNAcentral describes it as "lncRNA si:ch73-89i23.1 (ENSDARG00000103048.2)". The record is from RNAcentral. Lineage: Eukaryota; Metazoa; Chordata; Actinopteri; Cypriniformes; Danionidae.
AUGAACAGCUGUGAUCAUUGUAAUGUAUUUUGUCUCUGCUGUGUAGUCUGUUGUCCAGCGGAGGGUUCCAGAAACUGCGGGAUGGCUUUCGAAGGUCGUUUCAGGAUGGCCAGCCAUUCUGGAUCAAGCUCAAGCUUCACGUAGGAGCUUCCUCCACAAUCUGCAAUCUGCAAUGACAAAACAACUGAAUCUACCUCUGGAUCUCACUUCAUACUGAAACAUGCUGGAUGACGGAAACAGCAGGAUCAAUAUCUGAAGGAAGAAAUUCGUCAUCACAGAGUGACAGUGAAGGAGGACCCACCUGGUGCUGCAUCAGUGUUGAGUCGAGUGCAGGUGAGCAGAGAUCCAGUAUCUGGACUGCAAGUGCUCUAGAAGCUCAGCAGCAGCAGCAGGGCUUCCCAAAGUACUGCUCUUCACUUCCUGUCUGAGGAGCUUCUUCCUGCGCACAAGAGCAUUCAUGUUACUGUACUGAUACAUGCCUCAAGAAUAAUCAUGCAGCAGGAAGAGGACUUUGGGCAUCUACAUCUGGAGAAAUUCAGUGAGAAUGUUUUUAUUUCAUUAGAGAGGAGUCUGAUGUGUAUUAAAUCUAUUCUAAUUCAUUUGCAGUUCUAGUAGUUUUUAACACAACAGUAAAUCUGACUGCUUGACACUGAAAACUGCAUUUAUAAAAUGUGUUGCAAUAAUUAUAAAACACCAAAUGUCAUUUACUAUAAACAAACUAGGUCAAAUUGAAAGUCCCCCUCCUGUGCACAACAAUGGAACUGUCCAACUGUUGCUUUCCACUUUACUUUUACUUCACUUUAUUUAAUCAAAUGUGUAGAGUCUUCACUGCUCAUCAUUGCUGAUCUGUACUGUACACACCAGCUACUGGGAGAGAAUGAUUCAGCAUUUUUAUUGUGCAAAGUGUUUUCUAUGGGGGGGAUUAAUGCAGCAUAAAUUCAUGAAGUC